GACGAACGCUGGCGGCGUGCUUAACACAUGCAAGUCGAACGAAGAGCGAUGGAAGCUUGCUUCUAUCAAUCUUAGUGGCGAACGGGUGAGUAACGCGUAAUCAACCUGCCCUUCAGAGGGGGACAACAGUUGGAAACGACUGCUAAUACCGCAUACGAUCUAAUCUCGGCAUCGAGGAUAGAUGAAAGGUGGCCUCUACAUGUAAGCUAUCACUGAAGGAGGGGAUUGCGUCUGAUUAGCUAGUUGGAGGGGUAACGGCCCACCAAGGCGAUGAUCAGUAGCCGGUCUGAGAGGAUGAACGGCCACAUUGGGACUGAGACACGGCCCAGACUCCUACGGGAGGCAGCAGUGGGGAAUCUUCCGCAAUGGACGAAAGUCUGACGGAGCAACGCCGCGUGAGCGAGGACGGCCUUCGGGUUGUAAAGCUCUGUUAAUCGGGACGAAAGGCCUUCUUGCGAAUAGUGAGAAGGAUUGACGGUACCGGAAUAGAAAGCCACGGCUAACUACGUG
Molecule: ribosomal RNA, 510 nt
Filed under: uncultured bacterium
Lineage: Bacteria
Description: partial 16S ribosomal RNA
Rfam family: Bacterial small subunit ribosomal RNA
Source: RNAcentral